This 2922-nucleotide ribosomal RNA is filed under the name Klebsiella pneumoniae. Its description in RNAcentral is "bacterial LSU rRNA". It matches the Rfam family "Bacterial large subunit ribosomal RNA". Lineage: Bacteria; Pseudomonadati; Pseudomonadota; Gammaproteobacteria; Enterobacterales; Enterobacteriaceae. The record is from RNAcentral.
GGGUUGUGAGGUUAAGCGACUAAGCGUACACGGUGGAUGCCCUGGCAGUCAGAGGCGAUGAAGGACGUGCUAAUCUGCGAAAAGCGUCGGUAAGGUGAUAUGAACCGUUAUAACCGGCGAUGUCCGAAUGGGGAAACCCAGUGUGAUUCGUCACACUAUCGUUAACUGAAUACAUAGGUUAACGAGGCGAACCGGGGGAACUGAAACAUCUAAGUACCCCGAGGAAAAGAAAUCAACCGAGAUUCCCCCAGUAGCGGCGAGCGAACGGGGAGCAGCCCAGAGUCUGAAUCAGCUUGUGUGUUAGUGGAACGGUCUGGAAAGUCCGACGGUACAGGGUGAUAGUCCCGUACACCAAAAUGCACAGGUUGUGAACUCGAAGAGUAGGGCGGGACACGUGGUAUCCUGUCUGAAUAUGGGGGGACCAUCCUCCAAGGCUAAAUACUCCUGACUGACCGAUAGUGAACCAGUACCGUGAGGGAAAGGCGAAAAGAACCCCGGCGAGGGGAGUGAAAAAGAACCUGAAACCGUGUACGUACAAGCAGUGGGAGCACCUUCGGGUGUGACUGCGUACCUUUUGUAUAAUGGGUCAGCGACUUAUAUUCUGUAGCAAGGUUAACCGUAUAGGGGAGCCGCAGGGAAACCGAGUCUUAACUGGGCGUUAAGUUGCAGGGUAUAGACCCGAAACCCGGUGAUCUAGCCAUGGGCAGGUUGAAGGUUGGGUAACACUAACUGGAGGACCGAACCGACUAAUGUUGAAAAAUUAGCGGAUGACUUGUGGCUGGGGGUGAAAGGCCAAUCAAACCGGGAGAUAGCUGGUUCUCCCCGAAAGCUAUUUAGGUAGCGCCUCGUGAAUUCAUCUUCGGGGGUAGAGCACUGUUUCGGCUAGGGGGUCAUCCCGACUUACCAACCCGAUGCAAACUACGAAUACCGAAGAAUGUUAUCACGGGAGACACACGGCGGGUGCUAACGUCCGUCGUGAAGAGGGAAACAACCCAGACCGCCAGCUAAGGUCCCAAAGUCAUGGUUAAGUGGGAAACGAUGUGGGAAGGCACAGACAGCCAGGAUGUUGGCUUAGAAGCAGCCAUCAUUUAAAGAAAGCGUAAUAGCUCACUGGUCGAGUCGGCCUGCGCGGAAGAUGUAACGGGGCUAAACCAUGCACCGAAGCUGCGGCAGCGACACUAUGUGUUGUUGGGUAGGGGAGCGUUCUGUAAGCCUGCGAAGGUGUGCUGUGAGGCAUGCUGGAGGUAUCAGAAGUGCGAAUGCUGACAUAAGUAACGAUAAAGCGGGUGAAAAGCCCGCUCGCCGGAAGACCAAGGGUUCCUGUCCAACGUUAAUCGGGGCAGGGUGAGUCGACCCCUAAGGCGAGGCCGAAAGGCGUAGUCGAUGGGAAACAGGUUAAUAUUCCUGUACUUGGUGUUACUGCGAAGGGGGGACGGAGAAGGCUAUGUUAGCCGGGCGACGGUUGUCCCGGUUUAAGCAUGUAGGCUGAUUGUCCAGGCAAAUCCGGAUAAUCAAGGCUGAGGUGUGAUGACGAGGCACUACGGUGCUGAAGUAACAAAUGCCCUGCUUCCAGGAAAAGCCUCUAAGCAUCAGGUAACAUUAAAUCGUACCCCAAACCGACACAGGUGGUCAGGUAGAGAAUACCAAGGCGCUUGAGAGAACUCGGGUGAAGGAACUAGGCAAAAUGGUGCCGUAACUUCGGGAGAAGGCACGCUGGUGUGUAGGUGAAGUCCCUGCGGAUGGAGCUGAGACCAGUCGAAGAUACCAGCUGGCUGCAACUGUUUAUUAAAAACACAGCACUGUGCAAACACGAAAGUGGACGUAUACGGUGUGACGCCUGCCCGGUGCCGGAAGGUUAAUUGAUGGGGUUAUCCGUAAGGAGAAGCUCUUGAUCGAAGCCCCGGUAAACGGCGGCCGUAACUAUAACGGUCCUAAGGUAGCGAAAUUCCUUGUCGGGUAAGUUCCGACCUGCACGAAUGGCGUAAUGAUGGCCAGGCUGUCUCCACCCGAGACUCAGUGAAAUUGAACUCGCUGUGAAGAUGCAGUGUACCCGCGGCAAGACGGAAAGACCCCGUGAACCUUUACUAUAGCUUGACACUGAACAUUGAGCCUUGAUGUGUAGGAUAGGUGGGAGGCUUUGAAGCGUGGACGCCAGUCUGCGUGGAGCCAACCUUGAAAUACCACCCUUUAAUGUUUGAUGUUCUAACGUUGGCCCCUGACCGGGGUUGCGGACAGUGUCUGGUGGGUAGUUUGACUGGGGCGGUCUCCUCCCAAAGCGUAACGGAGGAGCACGAAGGUUAGCUAAUCCUGGUCGGACAUCAGGAGGUUAGUGCAAUGGCAUAAGCUAGCUUGACUGCGAGCGUGACGGCGCGAGCAGGUGCGAAAGCAGGUCAUAGUGAUCCGGUGGUUCUGAAUGGAAGGGCCAUCGCUCAACGGAUAAAAGGUACUCCGGGGAUAACAGGCUGAUACCGCCCAAGAGUUCAUAUCGACGGCGGUGUUUGGCACCUCGAUGUCGGCUCAUCACAUCCUGGGGCUGAAGUAGGUCCCAAGGGUAUGGCUGUUCGCCAUUUAAAGUGGUACGCGAGCUGGGUUUAGAACGUCGUGAGACAGUUCGGUCCCUAUCUGCCGUGGGCGCUGGAGAAUUGAGGGGGCUGCUCCUAGUACGAGAGGACCGGAGUGGACGCAUCACUGGUGUUCGGGUUGUCAUGCCAAUGGCACUGCCCGGUAGCUAAAUGCGGAAGAGAUAAGUGCUGAAAGCAUCUAAGCACGAAACUUGCCCCGAGAUGAGUUCUCCCUGAGACUUUAAGUCUCCUGAAGGAACGUUGAAGACGACGACGUUGAUAGGCCGGGUGUGUAAGCGCAGCGAUGCGUUGAGCUAACCGGUACUAAUGAACCGUGAGGCUUAACCUUACAACGCCGAAG